This 484-nucleotide ribosomal RNA is filed under the name uncultured bacterium. Its description in RNAcentral is "partial 16S ribosomal RNA". It matches the Rfam family "Bacterial small subunit ribosomal RNA", at positions 30 to 507 of the family's 1533-position model. The record is from RNAcentral.
AUUGAACGCUGGCGGCAGGCCUAACACAUGCAAGUCGAGCGGAUGAAGGGAGCUUGCUCCUGGAUUCAGCGGCGGACGGGUGAGUAAUGCCUAGGAAUCUGCCUGGUAGUGGGGGAUAACGUCCGGAAACGGGCGCUAAUACCGCAUACGUCCUGAGGGAGAAAGUGGGGGAUCUUCGGACCUCACGCUAUCAGAUGAGCCUAGGUCGGAUUAGCUAGUUGGUGGGGUAAAGGCCUACCAAGGCGACGAUCCGUAACUGGUCUGAGAGGAUGAUCAGUCACACUGGAAAUGAGCCACGGUCCAGACUCCUACGGGAGGGAGCAGUGGGGAAUAUUGGACAAUGGGCGAAAGCCUGAUCCAGCCAUGCCGCGUGUGUGAAGAAGGUCUUCGGAUUGUAAAGCACUUUAAGUUGGGAGGAAGGGCAGUAAGUUAAUACCUUGCUGUUUUGACGUUACCAACAGAAUAAGCACCGGCUAACUUCGUG